AACGAACGCUGGCGGCAGGCCUAACACAUGCAAGUCGAGCGCGCCCUUCGGGGUGAGCGGCGGACGGGUUAGUAACGCGUGGGAAUAUGCCCAAAGGUACGGAAUAGCCUCUGGAAACGGAGAGUAAUACCGUAUGUGCCCUUCGGGGGAAAGAUUUAUCGCCUUUGGAUUAGCCCGCGUUAGAUUAGGUAGUUGGUGGGGUAAUGGCCUACCAAGCCUACGAUCUAUAGCUGGUUUUAGAGGAUGAUCAGCCACACUGGGACUGAGACACGGCCCAGACUCCUACGGGAGGCAGCAGUGGGGAAUCUUAGACAAUGGGGGCAACCCUGAUCUAGCCAUGCCGCGUGUGUGAUGAAGGCCUUAGGGUCUAAAGCACUUUCGCCAGAGAUGAUAAUGACAGUAUCUGGUAAAGAAACCCCGGCUAACUCCGUGCCAGCAGCCGCGGUAAU
Molecule: ribosomal RNA, 449 nt
Filed under: uncultured bacterium
Lineage: Bacteria
Description: bacterial SSU rRNA
Rfam family: Bacterial small subunit ribosomal RNA
Source: RNAcentral